Molecule: transfer RNA, 70 nt
Filed under: Dipodomys ordii (Ord's kangaroo rat)
Lineage: Eukaryota; Metazoa; Chordata; Mammalia; Rodentia; Heteromyidae
Rfam family: tRNA
About the family: Transfer RNA (tRNA) molecules are approximately 80 nucleotides in length. Their secondary structure includes four short double-helical elements and three loops (D, anti-codon, and T loops). Further hydrogen bonds mediate the characteristic L-shaped molecular structure. tRNAs have two regions of fundamental functional importance: the anti-codon, which is responsible for specific mRNA codon recognition, and the 3' end, to which the tRNAs corresponding amino acid is attached (by aminoacyl-tRNA synthetases). tRNAs cope with the degeneracy of the genetic code in two manners: having more than one tRNA (with a specific anti-codon) for a particular amino acid; and 'wobble' base-pairing, i.e. permitting non-standard base-pairing at the 3rd anti-codon position.
Source: Rfam by way of RNAcentral
GGGAGUGUGGCUCACAUGGUAGAGCACCUGCCUAGCAAGCACAAGGCCCUGAGUUCAAACCCCAGUACCA